UGAUGAUGAUAAUGAAGAUGAGAUGAUGGUGGUGAAGAUGAUGAUCCUCCAUCGUUUUUCUUCUUUUUCCUUCAAGCUCUUAUUUCCUCUUUCUCUCUUCUUCUUUCUUCUCUCUUUCUUUCUUGCUCUUAUCUCUUCCUUUUCUUUUUUCUUUCUGAUAUCUCUCCUUCUCUCUUACCUACCAACUCUCUUUUCCUUCAUUCUUAUCCACUUCUUCUUUUUCUUUCCGCACCACACAAUUAUAUAACAUAUA
RNAcentral lists this long non-coding RNA (253 nucleotides) under Lathyrus oleraceus (garden pea). Its description in RNAcentral is "Pisum sativum (pea) long non-coding RNA (PSAT_LNC035816)". Lineage: Eukaryota; Viridiplantae; Streptophyta; Magnoliopsida; Fabales; Fabaceae. The record is from RNAcentral.